CGUAAACAGAGGGAAGCGAGCCCGCGAGGGGGAGCGAAUCCCAAAAAUAACGUCCCAGUUCGGAUUGUAGUCUGCAACCCGACUACAUGAAGCUGGAAUCGCUAGUAAUCGCGGAUCAGAAUGCCGCGGUGAAUACGUUCCCGGGUCUUGUACACACCGCCCGUCACACCAUGGGAGUCGGAAAUGCCCGAAGUCUGUGACCCAACCUACGGGAGGGAGCAGCCGAAGGCAGGUCGGAUGACUGGGGUGAAGUCGUAACAAGGUACC
Molecule: ribosomal RNA, 267 nt
Filed under: uncultured bacterium
Lineage: Bacteria
Description: partial 16S ribosomal RNA
Rfam family: Bacterial small subunit ribosomal RNA
Source: RNAcentral